Molecule: ribosomal RNA, 598 nt
Filed under: uncultured bacterium
Lineage: Bacteria
Description: bacterial SSU rRNA
Rfam family: Bacterial small subunit ribosomal RNA
Source: RNAcentral
UGCAGUCGACGAGAACCGCAAGGGAGUACAGUGGCGUACGGGUGAGUAACACGUGGGUAAUCUACCUUCGGGCUCCGAAUAACCCGCCGAAAGGCGGGCUAAUACGGGAUGAGACCACAGAUCUGCGGAUCAGGGGUUAAAGCGGGUGCAAACUCGCACCUGAAGAUGAGCCUGCGCAGCAUUAGCUAGUUGGUGAGGUAACGGCUCACCAAGGCGACGAUGCUUAGCUGGUCUGAGAGGAUGAUCAGCCACACUGGAACUGAAACACGGUCCAGACACCUACGGGUGGCAGCAGUGGGGAAUCUUGCGCAAUGGACGAAAGUCUGACGCAGCGACGCCGCGUGGGCGAUGAAGGCCUUCGGGUCGUAAAGCCCUGUCAGCAGGGAGUAAGGUCGGUGACCUAACACGUCAUCGAAUUGAACGUACCUGCAGAGGAAGCACCGGCUAACUCUGUGCCAGCAGCCGCGGUAAUACAGAGGGUGCAAGCGUUGUUUCGAAAUCAUUGGGCGUAAAGCGCAUGUAGGCGGCGCGACAAGUCUGAUGUGAAAUUCCUCGGCUCAACCGGGGAGGGUCAUUUGGAUACUGUCGUGCUCGAGUG